RNAcentral lists this ribosomal RNA (253 nucleotides) under uncultured bacterium. Its description in RNAcentral is "partial 16S ribosomal RNA". It matches the Rfam family "Bacterial small subunit ribosomal RNA", at positions 524 to 776 of the family's 1533-position model. The record is from RNAcentral.
GACGAACCGUGCGAACGUUGUUCGGAAUCACUGGGCUUAAAGGGCGCGUAGGCGGGCGGGCAAGUCUGCGGUGAAAGCCUCCAGCUCAACUGGAGAAGUGCCGUGGAUACUGCUCAUCUUGAGGAGGGUAGGGGCGUCUGGAACGUUGGGUGGAGCGGUGAAAUGCGUUGAUAUCCAACGGAACUCCGGUGGCGAAGGCGAGGCGCUGGACCCUUUCUGACGCUGAUGCGCGAAAGCUAGGGGAGCAAACAGG